This 468-nucleotide ribosomal RNA is filed under the name uncultured bacterium. RNAcentral describes it as "partial 16S ribosomal RNA". It matches the Rfam family "Bacterial small subunit ribosomal RNA", at positions 28 to 507 of the family's 1533-position model. The record is from RNAcentral.
GACGAACGCUGGCGGCGUGCUUAACACAUGCAAGUCGAACGGAAAGGCCCUGCUUUUGUGGGGUGCUCGAGUGGCGAACGGGUGAGUAACACGUGAGUAACCUGCCCUUGACUUUGGGAUAACUUCAGGAAACUGGGGCUAAUACCGGAUAGGAGCUCCUGCUGCAUGGUGGGGGUUGGAAAGUUUCGGCGGUUGGGGAUGGACUCGCGGCUUAUCAGCUUGUUGGGGGGGUAGUGGCUUACCAGGGCUUUGACGGGUAGCCGGCCUGAGAGGGUGACCGGCCACAUUGGGACUGAGGUACGGCCCAGACUGCUACCGGAGGCAGCAGGGGGGAAUAUGGCAGAAUGGGCGGGAGCCUGAUGCAGCAACGCCGCGUGCGGGAUGACGGGUUUCGGGUUGUAAACAGCUUUGGCAUGUGAUGAAGCGUGCGUGACGGUAACGGGUAAAGAAGCACCGGCUAACUACGUG